Molecule: long non-coding RNA, 143 nt
Organism: Etheostoma spectabile (orangethroat darter)
Lineage: Eukaryota; Metazoa; Chordata; Actinopteri; Perciformes; Percidae
Exons: 3
Source: RefSeq, a predicted model, not a curated record
UCAGCUUCUGUGUUUAUCUCUGGAUGCACCAAACCCAGAUUUUUGGGGUUCUGCCUAAUACCGAACCCUACUCCCAUCCUCAGUCCAUUAAUGAUGUAAACAAUGUCCACAGCAGUGCAUUAUUCAUUAUCUUUUAACUGUAA